Molecule: long non-coding RNA, 243 nt
Organism: Notothenia coriiceps (black rockcod)
Lineage: Eukaryota; Metazoa; Chordata; Actinopteri; Perciformes; Nototheniidae
Exons: 3
Source: RefSeq, a predicted model, not a curated record
CAUGGGUUUCUGCGUGGCAUCCCUCCAGCGAGGCGUCAUCAGGGCGUCCGGCCCGCGCCCGGCGGCAGCUGCACUUCAGGAACGAGUGGGCGUCGUGGAGCGGCUGGUCUGUCUGUUCCCGUAGCUGCGGGGGCGGAGCCUCAGUCAGGACUCGCACCUGCAUCACAAGGAACCCAGUGGGUGGACCAUGUUCAGGAGAGCCCAGACAAUACAAGAUCUGCAACACUAAGGAAUGCCCCCCCA